This 544-nucleotide ribosomal RNA is filed under the name Artystona rugiceps. RNAcentral describes it as "SSU rRNA". It matches the Rfam family "Eukaryotic small subunit ribosomal RNA", at positions 32 to 555 of the family's 1831-position model. The record is from RNAcentral. RNAcentral also lists the same sequence under 1 other name. Lineage: Eukaryota; Metazoa; Arthropoda; Insecta; Coleoptera; Tenebrionidae.
UUGUCUCAAAGAUUAAGCCAUGCAUGUCUCAGUACAAGCCGAAUUAAGGUGAAACCGCGAAAGGCUCAUUAAAUCAGUUAUGGUUCCUUAGAUCGUACACACAUUUACUUGGAUAACUGUGGUAAUUCUAGAGCUAAUACAUGCAAACAGAGCUCCGACCGGAGACGGAAGGAGCGCUUUUAUUAGAUCAAAACCAAUCGGUGGCGAUUUCCGUCGUCAUCGUACAACUUGGUGACUCUGAAUAACUUUACGCUGAUCGCACGGUCUCGCACCGGCGACGCAUCUUUCAAAUGUCUGCCUUAUCAACUGUCGAUGGUAGGUUCUGCGCCUACCAUGGUUGUAACGGGUAACGGGGAAUCAGGGUUCGAUUCCGGAGAGGGAGCCUGAGAAACGGCUACCACAUCCAAGGAAGGCAGCAGGCGCGCAAAUUACCCACUCCCGGCACGGGGAGGUAGUGACGAAAAAUAACGAUACGGGACUCAUCCGAGGCCCCGUAAUCGGAAUGAGUACACUCUAAACCCUUUAACGAGGAUCAAUUGGAGGG